This 26-nucleotide non-coding RNA is filed under the name Homo sapiens (human). The record is from RNAcentral. Lineage: Eukaryota; Metazoa; Chordata; Mammalia; Primates; Hominidae.
UGCAAGUGAUGGGGAGCAGCUGUAAA